Molecule: ribosomal RNA, 332 nt
Filed under: uncultured bacterium
Lineage: Bacteria
Description: bacterial SSU rRNA
Rfam family: Bacterial small subunit ribosomal RNA
Source: RNAcentral
UGUGUAGGCGGGUCGUUAAGUAUCUUGUGAAAUCCCCCGGCUCAACCGGGGAACUGCUGGGUAUACUGGCGAUCUUGAGCAAUUCAGGGGCAGAUGGAACAAGUGGUGGAGCGGUGAAAUGCGUAGAUAUCACUUGGAACGCCAAAGGUGAAGACAGUCUGCUGGGAAUUUGCUGACGCUGAGACACGAAAGCCAGGGGAGCGAACGGGAUUAGAUACCCCGGUAGUCCUGGCCCUAAACAAUGUCGACUAGAUCGUGGAACCUCUGACGGUUUCGCGGUCGAAGCAAAAGUGCUAAGUCGACCGCCUGGGAAGUACGGUCGCAAGGCUAAA